ACGAACGCUGGCGGCGUGUUUAACACAUGCAAGUCGAACGGAAAGGCCCUUCGGGGUACUCGAGUGGCGAACGGGUGAGUACCACGUGGGUGAUCUGCCCUGCACUUUGGGAUAAGCCUGGGAAACUGGGUCUAAUACCGGAUAGGACCACGGCAUUCAUGUGCUGUGGUGGAAAGCUUUUGCGGUGUGGGAUGGGCCCGCGGCCUAUCAGCUUGUUGGUGGGGUAAUGGCCUACCAAGGCGACGACGGGUAGCCGGCCUGAGAGGGUGACCGGCCACACUGGGACUGAGAUACGGCCCAGACUCCUACGGGAGGCAGCAGUGGGGAAUAUUGCACAAUGGGCGCAAGCCUGAUGCAGCGACGCCGCGUGAGGGAUGACGGCCUUCGGGUUGUAAACCUCUUUCGCCAGGGACGAAGCGCAAGUGACGGUACCUGGAGAAGAAGGACCGGCCAACUACGUG
RNAcentral lists this ribosomal RNA (461 nucleotides) under uncultured bacterium. RNAcentral describes it as "partial 16S ribosomal RNA". It matches the Rfam family "Bacterial small subunit ribosomal RNA", at positions 29 to 507 of the family's 1533-position model. The record is from RNAcentral.